UACGGAGGGGGCGAGCGUUGUCCGAAGUUACUGGGCGUAAAGCGCGCGUAGACGGUCUGUUAAGUGGGAUGUGAAAUCCCCGGGCUUAACCUGGGAAUUGCAUUUCAAACUGGCCGACUAGAGUACGGUAGAGGGAGGUAGAAUUUCCUGUGUAGCGGUGAAAUGCGUAGAUAUAGGAAGGAAUACCAGUGGCGAAGGCGGCCUCCUGGAUCGAUACUGACGCUGAGGCGCGAAAGCGUGGGGAGCAAACAGG
Molecule: ribosomal RNA, 253 nt
Filed under: uncultured bacterium
Lineage: Bacteria
Description: partial 16S ribosomal RNA
Rfam family: Bacterial small subunit ribosomal RNA
Source: RNAcentral